Molecule: unclassified non-coding RNA, 4510 nt
Filed under: Anneissia japonica
Lineage: Eukaryota; Metazoa; Echinodermata; Crinoidea; Comatulida; Comatulidae
Description: putative ATP-dependent RNA helicase DHX57, transcript variant X3
Source: RNAcentral
GGCUUAAAAUCUAUCCAUAAUUGAGAGAUAUGAGUUCUGCAGUACGAGUGAAAGGUAAACCAAAUAGGGGUGGGGGACGCGGGAAACAUAACUCGGGCCGCGGCGGCGGUGGAGCCAAACCAAAGACUGGUGGUGGAGGAGAUGGUCGAGGUGGGAGAGGCCGGAGUCGCGGUAGGGCUCGUGGCAGGGCUCGUGGCUCUUCGUCAGCUGGUCGUGGUGGCCCAGGUGGCAACAAUGGCUUACGUGGUAGACCUCCCAAUACUUCACAUAAGAAAGUGCAUACAACCAUGAAUUCACAGUACCUUUUUGGCGAAGACGAUGAAGAUAGUGAUGAAGAUUAUAAUAACGAUUUUGAAGAUGGAUACGAUGAUGAUUUUGAUGAUAUUUAUGCAGAUUUUAUUGAUGAUGAUCCUGUUAUAAAAUCUCAGCCUAGGCCUACUCACAAUUCAUAUUCUAAUUCUCCCUCAUCAUCUUCAUCUUUUAAACGAAAUGAACACAGAAAUUCGUCGAUGAAGCAUUCAUCAGAUAGGCCUAAGCCUAGUUUCACUCCUAACACAUCAAAUGUCAGGAAACCAAAGUUUUGGGGAGAUGUACGCAAAGUUAAGAUGCAACAGCUCCAUAUGCAACCACAGAAUCAAGAGAUGGUGCGGGACGUUCUACAUGAGCUCCAUGGCCAGGAAUUUAUGAGCAAACACACCGAUGACUACGAAGAUUCACAUGUAAGGAGUGAUAGUCGUUACUGGAUGGCAACCAAACAACUAAAAAUUCAAGAAUUUCAGGCGAAUUCACUAGCAGAGGAAAAUACUGAUAAAACAAGUCCUGAAUUUAUGAAUAAAUACAGUUUGAGGAAACUAUUAAGGUAUGGAUUUCAUAAGGAUCACUGUUUAUUAGCAUUAGAAGAAAGCAAUGGUGAGCUUGAUGUGGCAUUGGAAGUGUUACUAUCCCAGUGCUACCAAGGUGACAUCAGUGCCGCUAAUCUAAUUGAUGACAGCACGAUAUCAAUGGACAGCUGCAUUGAACAACGUCAAGAAGAAGCCAUUGCGCUGAGUUCCAUUUACGGAGACGAUUUCCAGGAAAGAAUUCCAAAUCGUGUUUGGAUACUGAAGCUUCAGCUUCAACACAUGAACGAGUUUGUCGGUGAACAGUACCAAGCACAAAUAAAAGCUGAGAAGAAAUCGAAACCUCAUGUUAGAAUCGAAGAUAUAUGUGAAUUUUUUUUACGCGGUAAUUGCAGGUAUGGCGCAAGGUGCUGGAAAACACAUGCAAAGCCAGAAGAAAAAAGCAAAAUUAGUUUCGUUCCAGAAGAAGAGUUAUCAGACACAAAAUUCUAUGAGAUAGAAGUGAGAUUUCCAGAGAAUAACAAAUACCCAAAUGAACCACCUCUUGUUGCCUUCUUGAGCUCAAACGACAAACUCUCUUAUAGUAAGUGCCUUAAUAUAUCAAAACGAUUGUUCCAGGAAGCAGUGAGCCACGCUGAAAAUGCUUCUCCGUCGGUGUUUGGCAUUGUCUCGCUUCUUGAGGACGAGAGUCAAGUGGUUGAUAUGUUGAUGCAAACCGCUCUUCCUUUGAGUCUUCCGGUUCCUGUCCAAAUUCCAAGACGUUCUGCACAUCCAAAGAAAGUUGUUCCUGUGGAUUCUGAUAUGAAGGAUGUGGAAGAGAAAGAACUUAAGCCAGAGAAUUUGCCACAAGAGAGCAUGAAGAAUCAAAGCAAAGAUUACAUACCACCACAAAGAGAUCCUAAGUCUGUUGAAAGGCAGAAUAGGAGGCUUAAAGAUCAAUUCAAGAAAACACAGGGAUCUUCCUCUUACAAGUCCAUGCUUGCCCAGCGCCAGAACCUUCCCGCGUGGUCGGAGCAAGAAAGGAUCCUGAAAGUCUUGAAUGAAAACCAGGUAGUGGUCGUCAGUGGUAUGACAGGUUGUGGUAAAACAACCCAAGUCCCUCAGUUUAUACUAGAUGCUUCCCUCAAACAAGUUGGCCCAAAACUGUGCAAUAUAGUAUGCACACAGCCUAGGAGAAUAUCCGCUGUUGCAGUUGCUGACCGUGUGGCAAAGGAACGUGCAGAAAGACUCAAAGGCAUUGUGGGAUACCAGAUUCGUCUUGAAAAUAUGCAGUCUGCCAGUACUCGGCUGUUGUUUUGUACAACAGGGAUUUUGUUGAGACGUUUAGAGGGUGAUUUUACGCUGCAAGGUGUGUCCCACAUCAUAGUAGAUGAAGUGCAUGAACGAAGUGAGGAAAGCGACUUCUUGAUAAUGAUACUACGGAAUCUUCUACAAAAGAGGAAAGAUCUCAAAGUCAUCCUCAUGAGCGCAACCUUGAAUGCAGAAUUGUUUUCAAACUAUUUUGGCGGUUGUCCCGUCAUAGACAUUCCAGGUAAAACUUUUCCUGUACAACAGUACUUUCUGGAGGAUGCCAUUGAGUAUACAAGGUUUGUGGUGGAGGAGAACUCCGCCUACUCUCGACCGGUGAAACGUAAAGCACAGGUGACAUCAGAGAGCGUGGCCAAGGAGCUAACCAAAGGCAACUUCUCAGGAAGUGUUUGGGAUGAGGUGGAAAAUGCUAUGCAGUCCACAACAGCCUUUCAGCCCCCAGAAGACCACAUGAAAGAUUGGAACAUCACUCAGAGACAGUUGGCUUACAGAUAUUCAGAUUAUACAAAGUCAACUAUAAAGUCUUUGUCGAUACUGGAUCAUGAUAAGAUUAAUUACGAUCUGAUUGAAGGAUUAAUAUCAUGGAUAGUUGCUGGAGAACAUGAAUUUCCCAAAGAGGGCGCUAUUCUUGUGUUUCUACCAGGCCUGGCAGAGAUCACCAUGUUGUUUGAUCGCCUCAAAGCCUCAAUGUCAUCUCCAAAAUGUACCAUCAGAUAUAAGCUUGUUCCCCUUCACUCAAGUCUGUCAAGUGAGGAUCAGAAUUCCGUCUUUGAGAAAGCGAAGGAUGGUGAACGCAAGGUUGUCAUCUCGACAAACAUCGCCGAGACAUCCGUUACUAUCGACGACGUGGUGUUUGUUAUUGAUGCAGGCAAAAUGAAAGAAAAAAGAUAUGAUUCCAGCAAAAGCAUGGAGAGUUUGGAAACUACUUGGGUUUCUAAAGCGAAUGCGCUUCAGCGUAAAGGGCGUGCUGGUCGUGUCAUGUCAGGCAUUGCCUUCCAUCUUUUCACCAGUCAUACUUUUCAAGCAUGGCUUAGGGAGCAGCCUAUACCAGAAAUACAGCGUGUGCCGUUAGAACAAGUGGUCCUAAAAAUUAAAAUGCUUGAUGUUUUCAAUGGUCUCUUUGUAAAGGAUGUACUCAAUAACCUGCUCCAGCCGCCACCGGCCAGUAAUAUAUCAGACGCUAUCAACAGGCUAUGUAACCUAGGUGCAUUAAACAAAGCACAGGACUUGACCUCUCUUGGGUACCAUCUUGCUAGCCUGCCAGUGGACGUAAGAAUUGGGAAGUUAAUGCUCUUUGGCGCCAUUUUCAGAUGCUUGGAUCCGGUGUUGACCAUCGCUGCCAUACUAAGUUACAGAUCUCCAUUUGUUGCACCGUUUGGCAAAAAAGAAGAGGCCGACAAGAAACGUAAAGAGUUCUCCGAGGGAAACAGUGAUCACAUAACAUUGCUAAAAGCAUACAAGGGUUGGGCUACAGUGACUAAAAGAAAAUUCUCAAGUGGUUUCCAAUUCUGCCAGAACAACUUCCUGUCCAUCAAAACAUUACAGAUGUUGGCAUCAAUGAAGCAUCAAUUUGCAGAGCUGCUCAGUGAUAUUGGAUUUAUCAGUGAGAAACUGAGUGCGAAAAGAAUGGACAGAAUGGCUGGAGGAGGAAGCGACGUCGUGGCAAUGUCCAUUGCGCCUGAGGCUAACAUCAAUGCAGCUAAUCACAAGUUAGUGAUUGCUGUUCUCUGUGCUGCACUUUACCCAAAUAUAGUGCAAGUAAUGACACUGGAGUCUAAGUAUAGCCAUACAAAGGCUGGAAGUAUUCCUCUGGCUCCGAAAGCAGACGAGAUUAGGCUAAAGACCCAGCAGGAUGGAUACGUAAGCAUCCAUCCUUCUUCUGUUAACUACCAAGUCGGCCAUUUUGAAAGUCCAUAUCUCAUUUAUCACGAAAAGAUCAAAACCUCAAAGGUGUACAUCCGGGACUGCAGCAUGGUAUCCGUUUACCCACUUCUUCUGUUUGGCGGAUAUUCCCUGAACUUGGAUCUGGUGCAGGGCACAUUCAUAAUGUCAUUGGAUGACGGCUGGAUCAAGUUCCAGGUCAACGACCACAAGCUGUUCCCAACGCAAUCAGGAACGCUCCCUGAUUCAACGGACCAAUCAGCGUCACCAAAGAAGUCGGCUAAUAGCGUGUAGCGAUUUUGACAGAAACCAGGCUUAACAAGACUGCCCAACUUUUACAGUGGUGUAUGCGUAUGAUGUUGGUGAGAUGAUACAAGAGUUACGUUCCGAACUUGAUCUGCUUCUGACGGACAGAAUUGAAGAUCCUGCGAUGGACUUGAUGACCUGCCCGAGAGGAAGCAGGAUUAUUGCUGCCAUUGUCC